Molecule: transfer RNA, 71 nt
Filed under: Heterocephalus glaber (naked mole-rat)
Lineage: Eukaryota; Metazoa; Chordata; Mammalia; Rodentia; Bathyergidae
Rfam family: tRNA
About the family: Transfer RNA (tRNA) molecules are approximately 80 nucleotides in length.
Source: Rfam by way of RNAcentral
GAGGAUAUAGGUCAGUGACAGAGCACUUGCUUAGGAUGCAUGAGGCCCUGGGUUUGAGUCCCAGUACUUCA